GUCGAGAAUUUUUCACAAUGGGCGAAAGCCUGAUGGAGCGACGCCGCGUGGGGGAUGAAUGGCUUCGGCCCGUAAACCCCUGUCAUUCGGGAUCAAUGCGCCUGGCCUAAUACGUCAGGCGUUGAUAGUACCGGAAGAGGAAGGGACGGCUAACUCUGUGCCAGCAGCCGCGGUAAUACAGAGGUCCCAAGCGUUGUUCGGAUUCACUGGGCGUAAAGGGUGCGUAGGCGGCUAGGUAAGUCUGGUGUGAAAUCUCGGAGCCUAACUCCGAAACGGCACUGGAAACUAUCUGGCUUGAGGUUGGGAGGGGGGACUGGAAUUCUCGGUGUAGCAGUGAAAUGCGUAGAUAUCGAGAGGAACACCAGUGGCGAAGGCGAGUCCCUGGACCAAUCCUGACGCUGAGGCACGAAAGCCAGGGGAGCAAACGGGAUUAGAAACCCGGGUAGUCC
This 449-nucleotide ribosomal RNA is filed under the name uncultured bacterium. RNAcentral describes it as "bacterial SSU rRNA". It matches the Rfam family "Bacterial small subunit ribosomal RNA", at positions 354 to 796 of the family's 1533-position model. The record is from RNAcentral.